GAGGGUAUAGCUUAGUGGUAGAGCACGUGCUUAGCAUUACAUGGGUUCAAUCCCCAGUACCUCCG
RNAcentral lists this transfer RNA (65 nucleotides) under Camelus bactrianus (Bactrian camel). It matches the Rfam family "tRNA". From Rfam's summary of the family: Transfer RNA (tRNA) molecules are approximately 80 nucleotides in length. Their secondary structure includes four short double-helical elements and three loops (D, anti-codon, and T loops). The record is from Rfam by way of RNAcentral. Lineage: Eukaryota; Metazoa; Chordata; Mammalia; Artiodactyla; Camelidae. RNAcentral also lists the same sequence under 3 other names.